GUAAACAGGGUAUACUGUUGCAGAUUCCGUGGAGUGCAGCUUUAAAUAGAUUUGGUUUGGAAAUGGGACAGAGAACACACCGCAGUCAGUGGAUCAACGUUGAGAGCAGAGAAAAACAAUGAUUACACUCAUUAAGUGGGUACCUGUUGACACAUUUACUGUCAAGUCUAAUUAUUUAUUGAAACUGUUAUUCUUUCUUCAUUACUGCCACUGAUACCAAUUAUUGCCACAGGAUUAUUUUAAAUUUCUACAGCAUGCUCCCAGACUAUUUACUUCUCCACCUCCCAAAGGUUACUUGAGAGGUUUCUAUCAUUCCCUCUCUACCAUUCCCCACCUCCAAAAUAUAACGAAAAGAGAAAGAGAGAAAAUUCCUCUUUCUUGAGAGUAAUUUUUGUAACCUUUCAGGGCUUGCUUAAAACUCCUCUUGAUAGUUUCAAGAUGGGUUUCUGUGGGGACAGGGGAUACAGUUAAUUACUUUUCAAAGCUUAUUCUAUUAAUAUUUAACAAUUGGCAUCGGAGGGAAGGUUAGUGUGAUAACUGCAGUUUCUAAAUGAACAAGUUAGAUCUCUGCCUCACAGAGCUGUCAAAAACUAUGAUAGUAGGUAUCUACAGUACAUUCUUUUCUGAUAUAUUUAUCCGUAAAAAUAAAACAUUAGAAAUAAGUUUUUGCAGGGUUAUUUUGUGGACUAGAAAAGAAAUAAAAGGUGGACAGGAGCCAUUCUUACAUUUUUUGCUACUACCUUUUUUAAAAACAAUGUUCUCUUUUUCUGUGUUAGUUUGCUGAGAAUGAUGGCUUCCAAACACCGCAUGUUCUCACUCAGAAGUGGGAGUUGAACGAGAACACAUGGACACAGGGAGGGGAACAUCACACAUCGGGGCCCGUUGAUGGGUGGAGGGCAAGGCAAGGACAAAUACCUAAUGCAUGCGGUGCUUAAAACCUGGAUGAUGGGUGGAUAGGGUGCAGCAACCACCAUGGCACAUGUAUACCUACGUAAAAAUCCUGCAUGUUCUGCACAUGUAUCCAAGAACUUAAAGUAAAAUAAUAAGUAAAUAAAUAAAUAAAAAACUUCCUGGGUAAACUAGCUUAUAUUCCACUUGAAAAAUAAAUAAAUAAUAAUAAAAAUAAAAACAAUGUUCUUUUUUUGUAGGAAUGAGAAGAAAAUCUAAAUAACUUAAGUGGCUGUUAUGUCUGGUUUAAUUACAGAAAUUUCAUAGUCCAUACAUAACCUACCUUGUCUGCACGUGUUCUUAUUAUAUAUAUAUGAUAUUAGCUUUGAAAAUCAUGUAAACCUGACACCUUAAUUUCCUCUCAAUUCUAAAUUUUCUAAGUCCUACAAAUUUGGGGCAAUACCAACCAAUUUUAUUCUUCUCAAAGGUCUGUGCAACUGAAGUCAUGGUUGCAGUUCGAGGUCAUAGAUAUAACAUACCAAAGGAAUUAACAAAAUAUUCAGCAGAAUACAUGUGUAUAGUACUCUAAAUAAUGAUAUCAAAUCUUCUACAAAGUUACUAUUCUACAUAUUGACUACUUCACCUCUUUUUGGUUAAGUUACAUUACAUAAAACACAGUAGAGCUCAUUAGAAGGUACAGAUUCAGCAGGUUGACUUUAGGAGAAAAAUCGCAUCUGGUAAAUUUUACAACUAUGAUGCUUCCUUUAAAUGUUUUUUCUCCAUUGGCCUCCAUUUUCUUGGCAAACUCAAGACAAAUGUAUUCUUCUGCCAAGGAUUGGUGUCAUUCCCAACAGUCCCCCAGGAGAGUGGCAUUCAGAUACAAUGGAUGCAAGGUUUCAAAAGACUAACUCAAUUUUCUGUGUUCUUAGGAUUUUUCUGUUGUGGCUUUGGAUUCUAGCUUUUUGAGAUGAUUUUGUUUGGCAGCUAAGAGAGAGUGACUGACCCAGCCAUAAAUAUUUGGCCCCUUCAGAGCCAGGUAACACUGGCAGUAUAGUGUAGUCAAAAAUGCGCUCAAUCAAGGGUUAGGAAACCAGGUAAAAAGCCCUCCUGCCACAUACUAGUUGAGGAUACAAUAAAAUAAUGGUUAAGCACAUUCUACUCCAUUGCAUUUUAUGGACACUUAAAUACAUACACAUUAAAUCUGAAUCGUCUGUGUGGCCCAGAUUUUUGGUUUUGGUAUUAAACCUUAAGGGCUAUGAAUUAAAAGGGAAAAAAAUAAAUCAAAAAAACAAAAAUAAAAAGAGAGGUCAGCUCACUGUCUUGGCCAUUUUUCAGUUCUUUUCCUCAUAAAGUACUUUGUAUUUCUUCUAUUCUUUGUAUUUCUUCUAAAAUCAACAUUACUGGCUCAGAUGCCUAUUAGUAUUUCAUAAACAAGAAGACACGCCUCCUCUCUUACCUCAGAUAGCUGGCUCCUGGAAUGGAUGGUUGACACAAGGUUCAGCCAACUGCAAUGCUAGUGUUUACAAAUGAAAUAAGUAAAAAUUACUUCCAGACACCAAACCCAUAUUUAUUCAUUAAUAGUCAUAACCUCUUAUAUCUACAUAAUGGUUUCUUGUUUUACAAAACAUUUUCACAUUCAUUGCACCCCACAGGAACCCGAUGAAGAAGCAGGAAGAGAUGAUUCUACUGGCUUCAUAGGUGAGGAAACAGAAGCUCAAAGAGGGACAGAAAGGAUGAGAAAGGAACUAACACCAUCCUCAUGAUUAACUUUACAGAAACCAUAUAAAAUGAAUAUUAUUGUCCACAUUUUACAGAAGUAGAAACUGAAGUUCACAAAAGGAAAGUAAUUUGCCCAAGAUUACACAGUUUAGUAUCUGGCAGGGCAUGAAUUUGGAGCCAAAGUUUGUGCCUGCUAGUCCAGUAAUCCUUCCUUUCUACUUCAGUUUUUCCUAGGUUAUUAGGCUAGGGAAAGACAAAGACAAACAGCAACUCAUUGUCUUAAUUCACAAGGCUUGGUGGAGAGAGAAAAUAAAAUAAAACCAGCUAUUUGAUUGAAAUGAGGAAAUGGGAAAAGUACAUAGGAUUUCGAGCCAGUCAGAUUUCCUUUAAUCAAUGGCCUUAGGCAAGUUAUUUAAACUCCAUGAGUGUCAAUUUCUUCAUAUGUAUGUGAAGAUUAUGAUAUAUACUCCAUAGCCAAAGUUGCCCUUAGUUAAACUUUUUAAAUAAGAUUUCUCUCCAUUAUUCCAUAUAUAUGGUUAUAGAGAGCAGUGAUAACAUUUCUUCCCAUAAAUCCACAUUUAUAUGAUCAAAAGAUAACAUUAUAAGCACAUUAGGCAAGAGAAUAUCUCUUUGACUUAUGUUUCCUAGUUUUAAAACACCGAAAUAUUAAUCUAUGUCACUCUCACAUGACCUCAUCUAACAAGAGACAGCCCAAAAACUUUUAAGAUUUUAAAAUCAAAAGUUUCCUUGACCCCUAAAAAGCAAAACAGAUACUGCUUUAGUUGAAAGACCUGCUGAUGAAUCGCACAUCAUUUUCAACUUUGUGCCCAUAAUCAUGCCCUAGGUUCAGAGAGUUGGAGUUUCCACCAGACUCUAAGAACAAAGCAAAUUUGUUUUAAUAGAAUGGAUGGAUUUAUUGAGAAAUAUAAGACUUCUAGGAAGUUUUGAUAAAAUGUCCCGUUUACAUAAAGGACUCAAAACAGGUUAAGAAAAGAACAUGGAUCCUGCAACUAUACCCCUGAACUUAAAAUAAAAGUUUCAAAAAAAAAAAAAAAAAAAAGAGCAUGAUUGAUCAGAUGCCCUGCAAGAAACUUGUCAUCUACCACCAAAUGAAAACAUUAAUCAUCUUUUAACAUCAUGCUUUAUUUUAUAGCUUGAAAAAUCACAAUGACCAUUAUGUCUCAAACCAUUCCCUUUAUAACUCCAAUGAGACCUUAUUACCCAAAUUUUACAAAUACAAAAACCAAACUUCAAAGAUCACAUGGUUAACAUGGAGCAGAUAAAAAUGUAACACUGUAUCUUGAUACCAAAAUCAGUAAGCACCCUCCUACUACAUGACGUAGCCUCCCAAUUGCUAUUUGAAGAGGGUAACUAAACAACUUCAGGAAAGGGAAACCGAGUGUAUAGCACAGAAAAUUCAAUUGUCGAAGCACUAACACACACUUAGUUCUAAGUUCUGCUUUAUUAGCAAGUGAAAGGAGAAAGAGUAGACUUCACAUCUGUGGUCUAACCAGAAGGUGACACAUUACUAAGCUAAGGCAAAAGGAGUGUUUGAUGCAGUGUUACCAUAAACACUUUCUCAGAUCUCACCAGGAAAGUUUCAAGAUGCAACAUCCCUGGGCAAAGUGUCGAAGCACAAGCCAUAUACGCAAGUCUGUACCAGUGAAGUUUUGUGAAGAGUGUGAUACAGUUUGACUGUGUCCACACCGAAAAUGUCAUCUUGAAUUGUAAACCCCAUGAGUCAAGGGUGAUACCAGGUAGAAGUAAUCCGAUCAUGGGGGCAAUUUCCCCCAUGCUGUUCUCAUGAUAGUGAGUGAGUCUCACGAGAUCUGAUAGUUUUAUAAGCAUCUGGCAUUUCUCCUGCUGGCAGUCACUCUUUCCUGCCGCCCUGUGAAGAAGGUGCCUGUUCCUCCUUUGCCUUUCACCAUGAUUAUAAGUUUCCUGAGGCCUCCCCAGCAAUGUGGAACUGUGAGUCAAUUAAACCUCUUUCUUUAUAAAUUACGUGGUCUCUGGCAGUUCUUUAUAGCAGCGUGAGAAUGGACUAAUACAAAUCCUUCACCAAUCAGUCUCAUUUUAAGCAAUAGGAAAGCUGAAGUCUUUCUAGCUAAGAAGUUCACCAGCCCUCUUCACGUGGAUUGAGUGGCAUGUGUCCUGAGUAGCUCCUGAGUGUUUCAUAAUGCAAUGGAGUUUUCCAUAAUUCCAUACAGACAUCUGGGACAACUGACAAAUCCCACUCUAGCCUUUUGGUAAUGAAGCCAGUUAUCCUUGGCUGCCUCUGUGUAUUUUAUAACUAACUGCUGACCCAGAACCUGACAUGUCUGCAUCCUUUGUCAAACCAUCCAUCCUCUCUCCCCUCAAAAAUAUGCUCACCCUCAGAAGCAAUUUUACAGAAGCAACUAUAUUUUGGAGAAAAACAGGAUGGAGUAAAUGAAGGUAAGAUAAUAAAGAGAGAGAAGCAAGAAAAUAACAGGGGGUAAAGAAAAAGCAGAAGAAAAUGGAAUGACAUGGAAAUGAAAAGUGCAGAGAUCAGCUGCAAUGGGUUUUUCACAAACCAUGGUGUCCUUUGAAUUUUCCACCACACCUCACAACAAAAUGUAACCAUCCCUAAGAUGAUUAUCUUAGUAUUAUGAACAAAAAUUCUAAGUGUUAUUGAACCAGUGUAAAGCUAACUCAAAAUACUUGAUAUUUUGUAAGUGCUUUAGUACCUCAAUAAGCAAUAUAAGAGUAUCUUAUAAAAACUCCCACUAAGUCAAUAAACUGGUACCUCUUUCACCCUGGUGUCCAAGAUAUUCAUUCCGAAUAGGGGGAAUCAUAUUGAAAAGAAUAAUGAAAUGGGGAUGGAGGAACUGGGUUCUGGUUUUAGUGCUGUAAUUAUCAAAUCUUUUGAUUAGAAGUUGCAUAAAAUACACAUUCUGUGUUUCUCUUUUCACAGUUAUCCCAAAACCACUGCGAAAAGGCCAAUAAUAAUUUGGUCAUUUUCAUAAGUUUCAUGUGGCAACAGAGGUAGUAGUAAAAGGAUUACUUAACCUAACAUUUAUUAAAAUAAAACAAUGUUUUAAACAUAGAAGUCUGUCCCCAGAAGCAACUGAAAUGUUAAAUCAGGCCAAAGGAAUUAGAUGACAAAUAUGGACUGCCCUGCAUUCCAGUCAUCAAAUACCACAUACAAUUUAAAGUGCACUCUCAUGCCACCCUAAGAUACUUAUCAAGAAUACAAGGUAUUCCAUAGCUUAUGAUUUGGUUGUCUCAUUAAAGUAAUGUUUGCCAGGAUUUAAUUGCUUCCCUCUCUGAUUUUAAUUUCCACACCUGUCAGCAUCUAUCAGAGGCACUGAAAUCUUCUGACAUCUGGUUGAUUGUGUUGAAAUUAAUCAGAUUUUUUAAAAGUAAAUUGCUUUGGCCUAAAGGUAAUGCUCAACUUCUUAAUGUUAUAUUUAUAAGGGCUCUAUCAAUGGAAUGUAUAAUCUAGAAAUAAAAUGAGAGACUUUAGGAAUUCUGAGCAGAAAUAUAAGUAGCUUACAAAUCUCCAGCACUGGACUUUUAAAGAUAAGUACUUUAAGAGUGACAUCAGUAGCAUGGCCAACCAGAGGCCCCUAGCUCUCGUCUCUUUCACAAAGACAGCCACAACAACAAUCAACAACUAAACUUUAACAAAAAUAACUGGGCCAGGCACGAUGGUUCGUGCCUGUAGUCCCGGCACUCUGGGAGGCCAAGGUGAGUGGAUCUGUUGAGCUCUGGAGUUUGAGAGCAGCCUGGGCAACAUAGGGAAACCCCAUUGCUAUAUAGAAAAAAACAAAAAGAUGAACUAAAAACAGAAGAAGAAAAAAUAAUAACUAAGGCAGUGUACCAGACUGCAUCAGAGAAGUAACAGAAACCCUGGAUAGCAAGAAACUCAGAAUGACCACAUAGAGAAUAGAAACAAAACACCUGGUCUUUACCACCCAUCACCCACUUGGGAUCUGCUGGAAACAGGGAGGAACUUCUCUCUAGGGUAGAAUGGUACACAAAAGGAUCCCAGCAAGCCCCAUCAACACCUUGAACAGCUACAGACCUCACCCAUGGAGUCUCAUGUAGUCCUCACAGGAGCCAAGUCCCAGCUGAGGGACCUGCCUGAAGUCCACAUAGCCGUGCUUCCCCAAGAAAAAGAGCAACCAGUGUGACCUGCCCUCUGUGGCCUGCGCAGCUACUGCGCUAUGCCGUCUUGGAAAUGGAGCUUUGGCUGGAGUGUCUCUUGCUCUGGGAGUGCAUAGCUAUGACACUCCAUCACUAAGGCUAAGCUACCGUUGAACCACCCGAACCCAGUGGCCCGACAUCCCCAAGCCGAGCUGCCAGCAACUGUUCCACUCUUCCCCAUGGGCCCAGGUGAAGGUAGAGUCACUUAAUCUACCUUUCACCCUCCCCUUCAGGCCAGUGCUGAAGCAGUACCCUGCCUCCUGGGAAAACAGUACAUUGGCCACUCAGAGCGGUCACGCACCCCAGUACUUAAUCUGAAGUAGCACCCUUCAUCCCAGGGAAAUGGUACCUGGGCUGCCUAGAAAAGUCAUGUCCCCCAGGCCUGAGCUGAAGUGGCAUAUUGUCCCUUGGUGAAUUGGUGCCAUCGCUCAGCUGAGCAGCUGUAAAUCCCAAAGCUGAGCUGAUGUGAUAACCCACAUCCUUGGAAAACUGAGCAGUGGCUGGGCUGAUCUGAGACACUCCAGCCUAAAGGGAAAACAACUCUAAUACGCUGUUUCCCUGGAGCUGGUCUACCUGCUUAGUGUCAGAGCUGCUAAGAUACCCCUCUCCCUGUGGCAUACAGCCACCACUGUGCUGUACUCUGCCCCCACUCAGGGCACAAGUAACAGCUGUAUGUUGCCAUUCUGGGGUACUGCUACCGCAUGUGGUCUUACAGAGUCUAAGGUACUGCUGAGUCCCAACAUCCAGGGGUCAAGAAUCACUACUACAUGGUGCCUCAUCCCCUGAGAUCCAAGUUGCCACUGAACCCUACUGGCUCAUGUUGCCAAAUCAGGGCAUAUCCUGCUCUCUGGGUCCAAACUUCCCUGCACUCCUUCUUUCCUGGAGUUGAGCCACUCACAGCUGGGACUGAGUUUGUAGAGUAAUGUCUCAGAGUCACAAAUCCUGGCUCUGUGGGAAGCCUACAUCCAACCCUAGCACAGAGAGUGAACCUGUAACCCAAGACCCAGGUGUCACAAUAGGUUGGCAAGAUCCUGGGCAUAAGACUCUAGUCCCACAGCCACUUCAAGCACCUGCACCUAGAACUCAGCACCACUGCACUUGCUUGUAGGUCAUGUGAUAUCUGACAUGAAGAGCAGUCCCCUUGGCUAAAUCUCCCCAUUAUGAAAAAAAUAAGAAUAGGAGGACCUCAAAAGCCCUUGACACUGAGGACAUUAAUAAUCUAUGCCACCACCACCACUGCCACAAAUUUCUACAACUUAAGCUACUGAGGUGCCCACAGUUAUUGCUGACAUUGAACGUAGCUUUAGAAGCUGCAUGGAGACCCUAUCACUGCAUCUAUUCAGAAACAAAGUCAUCACACCCCUCCCAACUGUAACACCAACCCUAAUUGCAAGCGGAAGUCUUUUUUUAUGAAAACCACUCCAGAAAGUUUGUAUAGAAGAGGUAAUUGUUCCACCGGAUGCAAAGACAUCAACUCACUGACACAAGAAAUAUGAAAAAGCAAUAAAAUAUGACACCACCAAAGGAAUGUAGCUCUUUAGUUUCAGACUCCAGUAAAAAAGAAAUCAAUAAAAUGCCAGAAAAGGAAUUCAAAAUAAUGAUCUUAAGGAACCUCAGUGAGAUACAAGAAAAUACAGAUAGACAAUUUUACUAAAUCAAGAAAAUAAUUCACAAUAUGAAGAAGAAAUUCAACAAAGAUAGACAUAAUAAAAAAGAAUAAAUCUCAAAAAUAAAGAAUUUCAUGAAUGCAUUCUUACCCUCAUACCAAAACCAGACAAGGACAAACAUGUAAAAAGAAAAUUAUAGGCCAGGAUCUCUGAUGAACAUAGAUGCAAAAAUCCUCAACAAAAUACUAGCAAACUGAAUCCACCAAUACAUUUAAAGGAGCAUUUACUAUGAUCAAGUGGUAUUUAUCCGAGGGAUACAAGGAUAGUUUAACACAGGUAAACCAAUAAACGUGAUACAUUACCUCAACAAAACAAAGUACAAAAACCAUGAUUAUCUCAUUAGAUGCAGAAAAAGCACUUCAUAAAGUUCAACAUUCCUUCAUGAUAUAAUAUCUCAAGUCAGGUAUAAAAGAAACAUACCUUACCUCAGCAUAAUAAACACUUCACAUGAUAAACCCACAGUCAUCAACAUACUGGACACGUUCAAAUUGAAAGGUUUCUUUUAAGCUCUGGAACAAGACAAAGAUGCUCACUUUUACCACUUUUAUUCAAGAUAGUUCUUGAACAGGCGUAUACACCAAUGGGACAGAACAGAGAACCCAAAAAUAAAUCCACGUAUUUACAGCCAACUGAUUUUCAACAAAGGAAACAAGAAGAAUCUCUUUAAUAAAUGGUGCUGGGAAAACUGGACAUCCAUAUACAGAAAAUGGAGCCACCAUGAGAUAUCAUCUAACCCAAGUUAGAAUAGCUAUUAUCAGAGACAAAAAAAAUAAGAAACGCUGGCAAAGAUGCAAAGAAAAGGGAAUUCAUACACUGUUGGUGGGAAUGUAAGUUAGUACAGCCAUUAUAGAAAAUAGUAUAGAGGUUCUUCAAAACACUAAAAUUAGAAAUAUUGGCUGGGCAUGGUGGCUCAGGCCUAUAAUCCCAGCACUUUGGGAGGCCAAGGUGGGCGGAUCACGAGGUCAAGAGAAGGAGACCAUCCUGGCCAAUAUGAUGAAACCCCGUCUGUACUAAAAACACAAAAAUUAGCCGGGCGUG
RNAcentral lists this long non-coding RNA (9479 nucleotides) under Homo sapiens (human). RNAcentral describes it as "non-protein coding lnc-BCL6-9:1". Lineage: Eukaryota; Metazoa; Chordata; Mammalia; Primates; Hominidae. The record is from RNAcentral.